AGGGCCGUAGCGCAGAGGCAGGCGCAUUGGACUGCGGAUCCGAAGCACGCCGGUUCGAAUCCGGCCGCCCUG
RNAcentral lists this transfer RNA (72 nucleotides) under Kutzneria sp. 744. It matches the Rfam family "tRNA". From Rfam's summary of the family: Transfer RNA (tRNA) molecules are approximately 80 nucleotides in length. Lineage: Bacteria; Bacillati; Actinomycetota; Actinomycetes; Pseudonocardiales; Pseudonocardiaceae. The record is from Rfam by way of RNAcentral.